This 459-nucleotide ribosomal RNA is filed under the name uncultured bacterium. RNAcentral's name for it is "partial 16S ribosomal RNA". It matches the Rfam family "Bacterial small subunit ribosomal RNA", at positions 338 to 795 of the family's 1533-position model. The record is from RNAcentral.
CCUACGGGUGGCAGCAGUGAGGAAUAUUGGUCAAUGGGCGCUAGCCUGAACCAGCCAAGUCGCGUGAGGGAUGACUGUCCUAUGGAUUGUAAACCUCUUUUGUCGGGGAGCAAAAGACGUUAUGCAUGGCGCUCCGAGUGUACCCUAAGAAAAAGCAUCGGCUAACUCCGUGCCGGCAGCCGUGGUAAUACGAGGGAUGCGAGCGUUAUCCGGAUUUAUGGGGUUUAAAGGGGGCGCAGGCGGAAGGUCAAUUCAGUGGUAAAAUUGUGAGGCUCAACCUCAUCGAGCAGUGGAAACUGGUUUUCUUGAGUGAGGGAGAAGUAUGCGGAAUGCGUGGUGUAGCGGUGAAAUGCAUAGAUAUCACGCAGAACUCCGAUUGCGAAGGCAGCAUACCGGCGCUCAACUGACGCUGAUGCACGAAAGUGUGGGUAUCGAACAGGAUUAGAUACCCCAGUAGUC